GGGUGCUUCUUCUUCGGAAGAUGUAACCCGGCGGACGGCUCAUUAACACGUGGACAACUUGCCCUUGGGUCCGGAAUAACCCCUGAGAAAUUGGGGAUAAUACAGGAUAGAGCAUCGGUUGCUGGAAUGCACGGUGUUCGAAAGUUGAGGCGCCCAAGGAUAGGUCUGCGGCCGAUUAGGUUGUUGUUGAUGUAACGGAUCAACAAGCCUACGAUCGGUACGGGUUGUGAGAGCAAGAGCCCGGAGAUGGGUUCUGAGAGAAGAACCCAGGUCCUACGGGACGCAUCAGGCGCGGAAACUUUACAAUGUGCGAAAGCACGAUAAGGGAACUCUGAGUGCCUCCUAAGGAGGCUGUUCAGGUGUCUAAAAAGCACUUGAAGGAAGGGCUGGGUAAGACCGGUGCCAGCCGCCGCGGUAACACCGGCAGCCCAAGUGGUAGUCACGCUUAUUGGGUCUAAAGCGUCCGUAGCCGGCUGAGUAAGUUCUUUGGGAAAUUUAACCGCUUAACGGUUAAGCUUUCAGUGAAUACUGCUUAGCUUGGGACCGGGAGAGGUCAGAGGUACCUCAAGGGUAGGGGUGAAAUCCAUUAAUCCUUGAGGGACCACCGGUAGCGAAG
RNAcentral lists this ribosomal RNA (616 nucleotides) under uncultured archaeon. RNAcentral describes it as "bacterial SSU rRNA". It matches the Rfam family "Archaeal small subunit ribosomal RNA", at positions 53 to 671 of the family's 1478-position model. The record is from RNAcentral.